UGGGGAAUUUUGGACAAUGGGCGCAAGCCUGAUCCAGCCAUGCCGCGUGCGGGAAGAAGGCCUUCGGGUUGUAAACCGCUUUUGUCAGGGAAGAAAUCUUCUGAGUUAAUACCUCGGGAGGAUGACAGUACCUGAAGAAUAAGCACCGGCUAACUACGUGCCAGCAGCCGCGGUAAUACGUAGGGUGCAAGCGUUAAUCGGAAUUACUGGGCGUAAAGCGUGCGCAGGCGGUUUUGUAAGACAGAGGUGAAAUCCCCGGGCUCAACCUGGGAACUGCCUUUGUGACUGCAAGGCUUGAGUGCGGCAGAGGGGGGAUGGAAUUCCGCGUGUAGCAGUGAAAUGCGUAGAUAUGCGGAGGAACACCGAUGGCGAAGGCAAUCCCCUGGGCCUGCACUGACGCUCAUGCACGAAAGCGUGGGGAGCAAACAGGAUUAGAUACCCUGGUAGUCCACGCCCUAAACGAUGUCAACUGGUUGUUGGGAAGGUUCCCCUCUCAGUAACGUAGCUAACGCGUGAAGUUGACCGCCUGGGGAGUACGGCCGCAA
RNAcentral lists this ribosomal RNA (545 nucleotides) under uncultured bacterium. Its description in RNAcentral is "partial 16S ribosomal RNA". It matches the Rfam family "Bacterial small subunit ribosomal RNA", at positions 355 to 891 of the family's 1533-position model. The record is from RNAcentral.